GCGUGGAUGGUUUAAUGGUAGAAUAUUUCGUUGCCAACGAAGUGACCCGGGUUCGAUUCCCGGUCCGCGCA
This 71-nucleotide transfer RNA is filed under the name Candidatus Pacearchaeota archaeon. RNAcentral describes it as "tRNA-Gly". It matches the Rfam family "tRNA". Rfam says of the family: Transfer RNA (tRNA) molecules are approximately 80 nucleotides in length. Their secondary structure includes four short double-helical elements and three loops (D, anti-codon, and T loops). Lineage: Archaea; Nanobdellati. RNAcentral also lists the same sequence under 1 other name. The record is from RNAcentral.